UCCUCGUUGGUCCAAUGGUUAGGAUAUCGGUCUUUCACACCGGUGGCCCGGGUUCGAUUCCCGGACGAGGAA
This is a transfer RNA of Spraguea lophii 42_110, 72 nucleotides long. It matches the Rfam family "tRNA". Rfam says of the family: Transfer RNA (tRNA) molecules are approximately 80 nucleotides in length. NCBI's taxonomy places the organism in Eukaryota, Fungi, Microsporidia, Spragueidae. The record is from Rfam.